CCUACGGGAGGCAGCAGUGAGGAAUAUUGGUCAAUGGCCGGAAGGCUGAACCAGCCAUGCCGCGUGAAGGUCAGUGCCCUAUGGGCGUUAAACUUCUUUUGUGCGGGAGCAAUAAUGGUCACGUGUGGCCAGACGAGAGUACCGUACGAAUAAGCAUCGGCUAACUCCGUGCCAGCAGCCGCGGUAAUACGGGGGAUGCCAGCGUUAUCCGGAUUUAUUGGGUUUAAAGGGUGCGUAGGCUGUGAGGUAAGUCAGCGGUGAAAUGCCCCCGAUCAACGGGGUGAAGUGCCAUUGAUACUGCCGUGCUGGAAUGCGGAUGCCGUGGGAGGAAGGUGUGGGGGAGCGGUGAAAUGCAGAGAUAUCACACAGAACACCGAUUGCGAAGGCAUCUCACGAAUCCGCGAUUGACGCUGAUGCACGAAAGCGUGGGUAUCAAACAGGAGUAGAUACCCGGGUAGUC
RNAcentral lists this ribosomal RNA (460 nucleotides) under uncultured bacterium. RNAcentral describes it as "partial 16S ribosomal RNA". It matches the Rfam family "Bacterial small subunit ribosomal RNA", at positions 338 to 795 of the family's 1533-position model. The record is from RNAcentral.